Theropithecus gelada (gelada) is the source of this 110-nucleotide ribosomal RNA. NCBI's taxonomy places the organism in Eukaryota, Metazoa, Chordata, Mammalia, Primates, Cercopithecidae. The record is from Ensembl.
ACAGCCAUCCACACCACCCUGAACACACCCGAUCUUGUCUGAUCUCAGAAGCUAAGCAGCUUCAGUCUGGUUGGUACCUGGAUGGGAAGGAAGCCUGAGCGUUGGAUUUA